This 805-nucleotide ribosomal RNA is filed under the name uncultured Bacteroidota bacterium. Its description in RNAcentral is "bacterial SSU rRNA". It matches the Rfam family "Bacterial small subunit ribosomal RNA", at positions 1 to 799 of the family's 1533-position model. Lineage: Bacteria; Pseudomonadati; Bacteroidota. The record is from RNAcentral.
AGGAGAGUUUGAUCCUGGCUCAGGAUGAACGCUAGCUACAGGCUUAACACAUGCAAGUCGAGGGGCAGCAUGAUCGAAGCUUGCUUUGAUUGAUGGCGACCGGCGCACGGGUGAGUAACGCGUAUCCAACCUUCCCCAUAGUAGAGAAUAGCCCGGCGAAAGUCGGAUUAAUGCUCUAUGUUGUAUCAUGAGGACAUCUGAAUAAUACCAAAGGUUCACCGCUAUGGGAUGGGGAUGCGUCUGAUUAGGUUGUUGGCGGGGUAACGGCCCACCAAGCCCACGAUCAGUAGGGGUUCUGAGAGGAAGGUCCCCCACAUUGGAACUGAGACACGGUCCAAACUCCUACGGGAGGCAGCAGUGAGGAAUAUUGGUCAAUGGACGGAAGUCUGAACCAGCCAAGUAGCGUGCAGGAUGACGGCCCUAUGGGUUGUAAACUGCUUUUAUACAGGGAUAAAGUGAGGGACGUGUCCCUUUUUGUAGGUACUGUAUGAAUAAGGACCGGCUAAUUCCGUGCCAGCAGCCGCGGUAAUACGGAAGGUCCGGGCGUUAUCCGGAUUUAUUGGGUUUAAAGGGAGCGCAGGCUGAUGAUUAAGCGUGACGUGAAAUGUAGCCGCUCAACGGCUGAACUGCGUCGCGAACUGGUUAUCUUGAGUGAGUUCGAUGUUGGCGGAAUUCGUGGUGUAGCGGUGAAAUGCUUAGAUAUCACGAAGAACUCCGAUUGCGAAGGCAGCCAACAAGGCCUUUACUGACGCUAAAGCUCGAAGGUGCGGGUAUCGAACAGGAUUAGAUACCCUGGUAGUCCCCU